UGUUUUAAUAGUUUAAAUAAAAAUAUUAAUUUUGUAAAUUAAAGUUAGAAUAACUCUUUAAUACAUC
Molecule: transfer RNA, 67 nt
Filed under: Pedionis papillata
Lineage: Eukaryota; Metazoa; Arthropoda; Insecta; Hemiptera; Cicadellidae
Description: tRNA-Thr
Source: RNAcentral